Molecule: non-coding RNA, 45 nt
Filed under: Trichobilharzia regenti
Lineage: Eukaryota; Metazoa; Platyhelminthes; Trematoda; Strigeidida; Schistosomatidae
Source: RNAcentral
GUUCAGAUGACGAGUCCCAAAUAGGACGAAAUGUGCAUCCUGAAU